This 1395-nucleotide ribosomal RNA is filed under the name uncultured bacterium. Its description in RNAcentral is "16S ribosomal RNA". It matches the Rfam family "Bacterial small subunit ribosomal RNA". The record is from RNAcentral.
AGAGUUUGAUCCUGGCUCAGGAUGAACGCUAGCUACAGGCUUAACACAUGCAAGUCGAGGGGCAGCAUGGUCUUAGCUUGCUAAGGCCGAUGGCGACCGGCGCACGGGUGAGUAACACGUAUCCAACCUGCCUUAUACUCCCGGACAGCCUUCUGAAAGGAAGAUUAAUACGGGAUGGCAUCACGAGCCAGCAUUUUCUCGUGAUUAAAGAACUUCGGUAUAAGAUGGGGAUGCGUUCCAUUAGAUAGUAGGCGGGGUAACGGCCCACCUAGUCGACGAUGGAUAGGGGUUCUGAGAGGAAGGUCCCCCACAUUGGAACUGAGACACGGUCCAAACUCCUACGGGAGGCAGCAGUGAGGAAUAUUGGUCAAUGGGCGCGAGCCUGAACCAGCCAAGUAGCGUGAAGGAUGACUGCCCUACGGGUUGUAAACUUCUUUUAUAAAGGAAUAAAGUGAGGCACGUGUGCCUUUUUGUAUGUACUUUAUGAAUAAGGAUCGGCUAACUCCGUGCCAGCAGCCGCGGUAAUACGGAGGAUCCGAGCGUUAUCCGGAUUUAUUGGGUUUAAAGGGAGCGUAGAUGGGUUGUUAAGUCAGUUGUGAAAGUUUGCGGCUCAACCGUAAAAUUGCAGUUGAUACUGGAUAUCUUGAGUGCAGUUGAGGCAGGCGGAAUUCGUGGUGUAGCGGUGAAAUGCUUAGAUAUCACGAAGAACUCCGAUUGCGAAGGCAGCCUGCUAAGCUGCAACUGACAUUGAGGCUCGAAAGUGUGGGUAUCAAACAGGAUUAGAUACCCUGGUAGUCCACACGGUAAACGAUGAAUACUCGCUGUUUGCGAUAUACAGCAAGCGGCCAAGCGAAAGCGUUAAGUAUUCCACCUGGGGAGUACGCCGGCAACGGUGAAACUCAAAGGAAUUGACGGGGGCCCGCACAAGCGGAGGAACAUGUGGUUUAAUUCGAUGAUACGCGAGGAACCUUACCCGGGCUUAAAUUGCAGAUGAAUUACGGUGAAAGCCGUAAGCCGCAAGGCAUCUGUGAAGGUGCUGCAUGGUUGUCGUCAGCUCGUGCCGUGAGGUGUCGGCUUAAGUGCCAUAACGAGCGCAACCCUUGUUGUCAGUUACUAACAGGUCAUGCUGAGGACUCUGACAAGACUGCCAUCGUAAGAUGUGAGGAAGGUGGGGAUGACGUCAAAUCAGCACGGCCCUUACGUCCGGGGCUACACACGUGUUACAAUGGGGGGUACAGAGGGCCGCUACCACGCGAGUGGAUGCCAAUCCCCAAAACCUCUCUCAGUUCGGACUGGAGUCUGCAACCCGACUCCACGAAGCUGGAUUCGCUAGUAAUCGCGCAUCAGCCACGGCGCGGUGAAUACGUUCCCGGGCCUUGCACACACCGCCCGUCA